GCGCAAUUUCAACCUUUACUGUUGAAAUAUGCUUUACUUUGCCUGCACAGUUGCAUAUGCAUGUGAUACACGCACAAAGAGGUUGCAUGCGACAUUUCUUUACCCUGUUCAUCGUGGAUGCAAGAUGAGUUUCUUUCAGAUGACUAAGGCCACUGUCUGUGGCUUGUCCUUCUGGAACAAGAUGCCAAUCCUGAGUCAUAUCAACCGAAAACAACGGGAAUGAAUCUCUCGUUUUCAUGGUACAGAAAAAACCAAAAUUUCUGCUCAAGUCUGUCUGUUGUUUUUGGUUGUCUCGUUAUCAUUUCUUCAUCAUCAUCAUAAAUGGAGAAUUUGAUGGAAAUGAAAGCCUCCACUAGGCUUGGAGUAGGUGGUUGAGUUGGUGAAGAGCUAGGGCCAAGAGGUAUCUUCUCUUUGUGAUCUCUGAUUCGAAUUCCUUUGUCCACUAAUAUUAUUUGUCACAGGCCGCAGGGCAUGCUCUUGAAAGUCUUGUUUAGAGAGAAAAGAUUUGGCAUGGUGCAUGCAAGCCAACACAUCAUACCCUUCCUAAAAAAUAAAAAAGAAUGCCAAUAUCUUUUAGGACCCACCCUCUUUAGGGAAGCUUGUGGCUAUCCAGUUUUUUCGAUCCACUUGCAAGCUUUUUUGAGCUGUUCUUCGUGAGUUAGGCGCUCCUAGUUCGCAAAUUGCAUUUUCAUAAUCAAUUUAUUCUUCACUUUUACUUUUAGAUUAGACCUACACUCCAUCAUCAAGUGGAUGGUGCUCAUCGAGUAGUGGUGGGGUGCAAGGAUUUUUUAAGGCCUUAAUUUGGCCUAAUCUAUCCUAUGACCCUGCUGAUCUGUGCUUUUUUAACAGGGACGGUGCAAAUUUUCUCUUAUUUGUCAAGUUUUUACCCUUUUAGAUACUCAAAUUUCAAGAUUACACAGGAUAUUUACGUCUUGUGAGGCUUCAUACCGGUGAAUUCAACUCUAUGGCGCCUCCAUGAAUGCUUGAUGUAACACCGACAAGGUUUUUCUUGGGGUACCUUUUGUACUGAUUUAUAUCACUGUAUAUGUUUUUAUGGCGAGAAUGAAAUUUCACUUUUAUACUGAAAAGAAA
Long non-coding RNA from Populus trichocarpa (black cottonwood), 1092 nucleotides. RefSeq lists it as uncharacterized. The transcript has 2 exons. Lineage: Eukaryota; Viridiplantae; Streptophyta; Magnoliopsida; Malpighiales; Salicaceae. The record is from RefSeq and is a predicted model, not a curated record.